Molecule: unclassified non-coding RNA, 236 nt
Filed under: uncultured Astraeus
Lineage: Eukaryota; Fungi; Basidiomycota; Agaricomycetes; Boletales
Description: sequence contains ITS2
Source: RNAcentral
AAAUCUCAAAACCUAGCUUUGCUUCGUCGGAGCUCGGUUUUGGACCUUUGGGAGUCUGCGGGCGACCCUUUGCUUGGGACGUCGGCUCUCCUCAAAUGCAUUAGCGGUGGGCGCGAGCCUUUGCACGGCACGGCCUGUUCGACGUCGUAGUGAUCGUCGCGGGCUGGAAGUGCUCGGAUCGACAUGUCUCAUGCUUCCAACCAUGUUAUUAGCCUAUGCAAGGCUAGUAAAUUAAG